GGGCGGUUAGCUCAGUGGUAGAGCGCUUCGUUCACACCGAAGAGGUCGCUGGUUCGAUACCAGUACCGCCCA
RNAcentral lists this transfer RNA (72 nucleotides) under Trueperella sp. RNAcentral's name for it is "tRNA-Val". It matches the Rfam family "tRNA". Rfam says of the family: Transfer RNA (tRNA) molecules are approximately 80 nucleotides in length. The record is from RNAcentral. Lineage: Bacteria; Bacillati; Actinomycetota; Actinomycetes; Actinomycetales; Actinomycetaceae.